This 295-nucleotide microRNA precursor is filed under the name Paramuricea clavata. The record is from RNAcentral. Lineage: Eukaryota; Metazoa; Cnidaria; Anthozoa; Malacalcyonacea; Plexauridae.
GGCGUCGAUAUACGACGUCAUAAACACCAUCAAGUUUGGUGUUUAUGACGUCGAUAUUCGACGUCAUAAACACCAUCAAAUUUGGUGUUGAUGACGUCGAUAUACGACGUCUUAAACACCAUCAAGUUUGAUGUUUAUGGCGUCGAUAUUCGACGUCAUCAACAUCAUCAAGUUUGGUGUUUAUGACGUCGAUAUUCAACGUCAUAAACACCAUCAAGUUCGGUGUUUAUGACGUCGAUAUACGACGUCAUAAACAACACCAAGUUUGGUGUUGAUGACGUCGUUGUUGGACGUC